GAAAAUAGUUUGAAGAAGGGGGUAGGUGGGAAGAAAAAGAGCCAAAAGAGUACUCACAUCUGUACUGACCUAGACAUCAAUAACAAUAUUUAUAAAGCAGUUUACUAUUGAAAAUGGCAAGCAAGUCAGAUGUGGUCCCUGCUCUCUAGGGGCUCAUUGGAGCAACUGCCAAUAAGAGAUUUGACAAAUAAGCAAGGAGAGUUUGAUGAGUUAGGAGGCUAUAGGGACAUGAAAACUAAAUGGCUGUGUGAUCCUGAUUGGACCAUGGGUCAGGACAGAUGAUUAUCUUACACAGAAAGACAUUAUUGGGAAAUCGGCAAAGCAUCUGUGGGAGGCAAGAUCUUAAAACUCUAACAAGAAAUGUCCAAUUUAAGAAAAACAGACGCAGUGUUUCAUUUUCCAAUACUGAAUAUACUUGAAACCAGAUCGCUUUAUUUUGCUUCUAAAUGUCAUUUUAAAUAAAGUAAC
Molecule: long non-coding RNA, 468 nt
Organism: Canis lupus familiaris (dog)
Lineage: Eukaryota; Metazoa; Chordata; Mammalia; Carnivora; Canidae
Exons: 3
Source: RefSeq, a predicted model, not a curated record